RNAcentral lists this non-coding RNA (120 nucleotides) under uncultured Dialister sp. RNAcentral describes it as "THF riboswitch". It matches the Rfam family "THF (Tetrahydrofolate) riboswitch aptamer". From Rfam's summary of the family: THF riboswitch presents a pseudoknot that joins P1-P2 and the loop of P3 and two THF binding. The record is from RNAcentral. Lineage: Bacteria; Bacillati; Bacillota; Negativicutes; Veillonellales; Veillonellaceae.
GCAGAGUAAGUGCAGGUGCGCAGGAAAAGGCUGGUCCUUUUCCUCCAGUGCCGGAUGAACGGGGAGUUGUCAUCCGGACGAAAAGCAGAAGCUUGCGGUGCCUGUGCUGCAUCCCGCUGC